ACGCUCGACACCUACGGGAGGCAGCAGUGAGGAAUAUUGGUCAAUGGGCGCUAGCCUGAACCAGCCAAGUAGCGUGAAGGAUGAAGGCUCUAUGGGUCGUAAACUUCUUUUAUAUAAGAAUAAAGUGCAGUAUGUAUACUGUUUUGUAUGUAUUAUAUGAAUAAGGAUCGGCUAACUCCGUGCCCGCAGCCGCGGUAAUCUGAGCGGCUGGCAAGGC
Molecule: ribosomal RNA, 217 nt
Filed under: uncultured bacterium
Lineage: Bacteria
Description: partial 16S ribosomal RNA
Rfam family: Bacterial small subunit ribosomal RNA
Source: RNAcentral